GUGCACGCUGGCGGUCGGCCUAACACAUGCAAGUCGAACGGCAGCACAGUAAGAGCUUGCUCUUACGGGUGGCGAGUGGCGGACGGGUGAGGAAUACAUCGGAAUCUACUUUUUCGUGGGGGAUAACGUAGGGAAACUUACGCUAAUACCGCAUACGACCUACGGGUGAAAGCAGGGGAUCUUCGGACCUUGCGCGAUUGAAUGAGCCGAUGUCGGAUUAGCUAGUUGGCGGGGUAAAGGCCCACCAAGGCGACGAUCCGUAGCUGGUCUGAGAGGAUGAUCAGCCACACUGGAACUGAGACACGGUCCAGACUCCUACGGGAGGCAGCAGUGGGGAAUAUUGGACAAUGGGCGCAAGCCUGAUCCAGCCAUACCGCGUGGGUGAAGAAGGCCUUCGGGUUGUAAAGCCCUUUUGUUGGGAAAGAAAAGCAGCAGGUUAAUACCCCGCUGUUCUGACGGUACCCAAAGAAUAAGCACCGGCUAACUUCGUG
RNAcentral lists this ribosomal RNA (491 nucleotides) under uncultured bacterium. RNAcentral's name for it is "partial 16S ribosomal RNA". It matches the Rfam family "Bacterial small subunit ribosomal RNA", at positions 29 to 507 of the family's 1533-position model. The record is from RNAcentral.